Molecule: small RNA, 26 nt
Filed under: Arabidopsis thaliana (thale cress)
Lineage: Eukaryota; Viridiplantae; Streptophyta; Magnoliopsida; Brassicales; Brassicaceae
Description: ATSL132200
Source: RNAcentral
AAAAAUAAAAUAAAAGAUAAAAAAAA